Molecule: ribosomal RNA, 558 nt
Filed under: Triticum aestivum (bread wheat)
Lineage: Eukaryota; Viridiplantae; Streptophyta; Magnoliopsida; Poales; Poaceae
Description: partial small subunit ribosomal RNA
Source: RNAcentral
AUGAAGGCUCUGCAUGACGGCCAUUUCUAUUCCUUUGGAGGACUCAACACCUCGAUCCUCACUCUCCUGCCCAAGAAAGCUAACUCGCUGGAGAUUUGUGACUUUAGACCCACCAAUCUGAUUCAUGGGACAGCCAAGAUCUUUGCUAAGGUUCUUGCUACCUGUCUGGCUCCGCUUCUGCCAAGUCUGAUUUCGAAGGCCCAAAGUGCAUUUGUGACCAGCCGCAAUAUCCAUGAGAACUUCAAGUUUGUGAGGAACAAAGCGAGGUUUCUGCACCGACGGCGCUGCUCUUCGGUGAAAAUUGACAUAUCCAAGGCCUUCGAUACACUAUCCUGGGAAUUUCUGCUGGAGGUCCUGACUGCUAGGGGAUUCGGUAGGAAAUGUCGCUCCUGGAUAUGCGGGCUGCUAUCCACAGCAUCCACCUCCGUUCUCAUCAACGGCGAGCUCUGUACACCCUUCGCCCUAGGCCAGGGUGUCCGCCAGGGCGACCGCAUUUCUCCGGCUUUAUUCAUUCUGGCCAUGGACUCCAUUCACGGCAUGCUGGAAUGGGCAAGAUAG